CUGAGAUCUGAGUCAUGAAUCAGCUGAGCGGCGAUCACAGCUCACUGGCGCUGUACCUGUGUGUGUGUGUGUGUGUGUGUGUGUGUGUUGUGUCUCGUCUCAGCCGGGUGUGAAGUUGUAAUAAGAGGUGAAAAUUCGUUUAGUUUUCUCAAAAGCUCAGCACCAGGGUGUUUUUAUGAUUCUUCCAGACCCUAGUUCAACUAUCAUGAGAGCUUCACCCAGGGAUAAACGAAUUAAAUACGAUUCACGUCAUUGCCACACGUCCGCCUCGGCACACAGGCCGGGUGAAGGCGAGGGUGCCAAUACUUUUAUCUAUGCAGAAGACGUACGGUAAGAAGAUGUGCAGCUUUGUUGGACGACGUUAAGGAACAACAAAAAGGUGUUCAGUGGCUGAAUCUCAAACUCUGUUUUGUGCUCUGUACUGGGUAGGGCACUGGGUAGGGCACUAGGUAGGACACUGGGUAGGGCACUAGCUAGGGCACUAGGAAG
Molecule: long non-coding RNA, 489 nt
Organism: Ictalurus punctatus (channel catfish)
Lineage: Eukaryota; Metazoa; Chordata; Actinopteri; Siluriformes; Ictaluridae
Source: Ensembl